This 483-nucleotide ribosomal RNA is filed under the name uncultured bacterium. Its description in RNAcentral is "partial 16S ribosomal RNA". The record is from RNAcentral.
GUAGUUAGCCGGUGCUUUCUUGUUGGGUACCGUCAUUAUCGUCCCCAACGACAGGAGUUUACAAUCCGAAAACCUUCUUCCUCCACGCGGCGUCGCUGCAUCAGGGUUUCCCCCAUUGUGCAAUAUUCCCCACUGCUGCCUCCCGUAGGAGUCUGGACCGUGUCUCAGUUCCAGUGUGGCCGAUCAGCCUCUCAGCUCGGCUACCCAUCGUUGGCUUGGUGGGCCGUUACCUCACCAACUACCUAAUGGGACGCGAACCCCUCUUAAAGCGGAUUGCUCCUUUGACCUCAUCCCGAUGCCGGGUCGUGGUCUUAUGCGGUAUUAGCACUUGUUUCCAGGUGUUAUCCCCCUCUUUAAGGCAGGUUGUUCACGCGUUACUCACCCGUUCGCCACUAAGUACAAAACCGAAAUCUUGUACUCCGUUCGACUUGCAUGUGUUAGGCACGCCGCCAGCGUUCGUCCUGAGCCAUGAUCAAACUCUGA